Molecule: ribosomal RNA, 450 nt
Filed under: uncultured bacterium
Lineage: Bacteria
Description: partial 16S ribosomal RNA
Rfam family: Bacterial small subunit ribosomal RNA
Source: RNAcentral
GUGGGGAAUUUUGGACAAUGGGCGCAAGCCUGAUCCAGCAAUGCCGCGUGCAGGAAGAAGGCCUUCGGGUUGUAAACUGCUUUUGUACGGAACGAAACGGUCCUGGUUAAUACCUGGGGCUAAUGACGGUACCGUAAGAAUAAGCACCGGCUAACUACGUGCCAGCAGCCGCGGUAAUACGUAGGGUGCGAGCGUUAAUCGGAAUUACUGGGCGUAAAGCGUGCGCAGGCGGUGCUGUAAGACAGGCGUGAAAUCCCCGGGCUCAACCUGGGAAUUGCGAUUGUGACUGCAGUGCUGGAGUACGGCAGAGGGGGAUGGAAUUCCGCGUGUAGCAGUGAAAUGCGUAGAUAUGCGGAGGAACACCGAUGGCGAAGGCAGUCCCCUGGGCCUGUACUGACGCUCAUGCACGAAAGCGUGGGGAGCAAACAGGAUUAGAAACCCGGGUAGUCC